UGAUAUCAUACGAUAUGCUUGCAAGCGUUUAUCGUCUAUCGCAGUGCUCGUCAAAUUUUGCCUGUGUCUUUCCAUAAAUACCUUUCGCUAAAACUUCGCUGCCUUUUUACUCACAACUUUAGUUUUGUAGUUCUUACAUGGACGUACUAAAUUUAAUACGAAAUCUGCACCUCCACCGACCACCAAAUAUCUGUGGAAAGAUGCUAUUCACAGUCGUUAGUUCAACGAAAAUUGGCACUCACAAAACCAACGUUAAUAGGUUAGUAGUCGUUAGUUUACAUAGCUCCAGGCGACAUUCGCAAUAACGAUAAUUCAUUUUUCAAAUACAUGGGUACAUAUUGUAAAAAUACAAGACUUUUAGUUUUUUGCUGAAAAGAAUUUUAAAUUUUAGGAAUCCGGUAGGCGUAUUAUACACCUUAUGGAGGCGCAGAUUUUCUAUCUUUUCUGUUAUCCGAUUGGUAUUGAAUUUCCGGUUUGCUGUCCUAGUGUGAAUAUCAAAAGCAAGAGUUUACGAAAUAGAGUUAAUCUGAAGGAAUAUUUUACUGGGCUUAUUAAUUUUCUUGGUGAAAGCUUUUAAAAGAUGCGUACCUACGAUCGAUAUAUCCAUAUACAGAAAACAAUAUAUUUGUUUCCAAAUUGUUGAUGCUAAUGUCUUCUUUAUUUCAAAUAUUAACAUACUGGAUGAAAAUUAGGCAUAUUUCCAAUAGAAAAAAUGAGAUCUAUGAAGAAUAUUGCAGAGCUCUACGAUUUACCAACUGGGAUUACUAAGUGCUUAAAAUAAAAACCAGUGCAGCUACAUAAAAUACGACCUAAAUGAGUUGUGGAAAAAUAUUUCGCAAACAACAGUUGGAAUAAAGUCCUAAUGCAAACUUAUUUCGGGGUUGAGAGUCAUCGUGGGCAAUACUUACAUAGUACAUA
This is a long non-coding RNA of Rhagoletis zephyria (snowberry fruit fly), 918 nucleotides long. RefSeq lists it as uncharacterized. NCBI's taxonomy places the organism in Eukaryota, Metazoa, Arthropoda, Insecta, Diptera, Tephritidae. The record is from RefSeq and is a predicted model, not a curated record.